RNAcentral lists this ribosomal RNA (253 nucleotides) under uncultured bacterium. RNAcentral describes it as "partial 16S ribosomal RNA". It matches the Rfam family "Bacterial small subunit ribosomal RNA", at positions 524 to 776 of the family's 1533-position model. The record is from RNAcentral.
UACGGAGGGGGCUAGCGUUGUUCGGAAUUACUGGGCGUAAAGCGCACGUAGGCGGCUUUGUAAGUUAGAGGUGAAAGCCCGGAGCUCAACUCCGGAAUUGCCUUUAAGACUGCAUCGCUAGAAUUGUGGAGAGGUAAGUGGAAUUCCGAGUGUAGAGGUGAAAUUCGUAGAUAUUAGGAAGAACACCGGUGGCGAAGGCGGCCCACUGGAUCGGUACUGACGCUGAGGUGCGAAAGCGUGGGGAGCAAACAGG